UUGGUGUGCGCAAUUAAUAAUUUACAAAGUUCAGGGAUUUUUAGGUAUUAUUUUCUGUUUUGGUUGCAAAACUCUCAUUUUUGUUGAUGGGCCCACCCAAAGCAACUGCAUUUCUGGCAGUUGUUUCCCUACGCAUAUGUAAUCAAGAAGAUGAUAAACUGUUAUAGCUGUAAGACGGGGAAAAAGAGUAAAAAGGAUGGCUAGUCUGGGCAUGUACUGGAAUACAGGAAUCAAGAAAAGGGCAGUAAUCGUUGCUAAUGUUGUAAAGGAGAAUGAAAAGAGAGUAGAAGUAGCAGAGAAGGUGAGAAAAUCCAAAGUAGUUAUACUUGGUGGAACUGGAAGAGUUGGUGGUUCUACUGCUAUUGCUCUUUCUAAGCUCUGCCCUGACCUUCACAUUGUCAUUGCUGGCCGAAAUAGGGAGAAAGGGACUGCCAUGGUGUCAAAGCUAGGAAAGAACUCAGAAUUCGCGGAAGUAAAUAUAGGCGACGGAGAAGCAUUAGAAGCCAAUUUGCAAGAUGCGGACAUUGUGGUUUAUACUGCCGGGCCAUUCCAACAGUCAGAAAACUGCAAAGUACUAGAAGCUGCCAUUCGGACCAAGACAGCCUAUCUUGAUAUUUGUGAUGACACACACUAUGCAACACGGGCGAAGUCCUAUAUGAAUAAAGCACUGGAAGCCAAUAUUCCUGCCAUAACUACUGGUGGAAUUUACCCAGGAGUGAGCAACGUGAUGGCAGCAGAGCUCGUUCGCACUGCAAAAGUUGAAAGCAAGGGUGAAUUGGAGAGGCUUAGAUUCUACUACUACACUGCAGGCACUGGUGGCGCUGGACCUACUAUUUUAGCUACUAGUUUUUUGCUUCUUGGAGAGGAUGUAGUUGCAUAUAAUAAAGGAGAGAAAAUCAAAUUGACGCCUUAUAGUGGGAUGCUUAAUAUUGACUUUGGAUUAGGGAUCGGCAAGAAGGAUGUUUACCUCCUAAAUCUUCCAGAGGUGAAAAGUGUGCAUGAGGUCCUUGGAGUACCAACUGUUAGUGCUCGGUUUGGAACAGAUCCAUUCUUCUGGAACUGGGGAAUGAUUGCUAUGAGAACUCUACUUCCUCAAGAAUUUCUGAGGGAUAGAAGCAAAGUGCAACAACUAGUUCAACUAUUCGAUCCAGUUGUUCGAGCUGUUGACGGAACAGCUGGAGAAGCAGUGUCAAUGCGAGUAGAUUUAGAAUGCUCAGAUGGACACAACAGAAUAGGCAUAUUUAGUCAUAAAGGGCUUUCUAGAUCAGUGGGAAUUUCAACAGCUGCAUUUGUCCUUGCUAUUCUUGAGGGAAGCACAAAACCUGGUGUCUGGUUUCCUGAAGAGCCCGAAGGAAUUGCAGUUGAAGCAAGGGAAGUUCUUCUCCAAAGAGCUUCCCAGGGAACUAUAAACUUCAUAAUUAACAAGGCGCCAUGGAUGGUAGAAACAAAUCCUAAAGAGCUCGGUUUUGGGAUAUAUUCGUAAACUCAGUACAGAUAUUUGACUGAUCAAGUUCGAGCACGAACUGAAGCUGCCAUCCUGAAUUUUCUUAAAGCACUAAAUUCAAAUUCUCCCUCAAUUUCCGAUCUAUCACUGGUUCAGGUGCUUAGUUCCAGGUUCGACAGUGAUUCUUCGGGCACGCUGUUCUACAUCCUCUGUUGUGGUGAGUCCUCAUGUUCUGAGGACGUGAUGUCUGAUGUUGGUUUCACGGAAUUGUUUACAUUUUAUAACUGAGUAUGAGUCAGUUGGGGCAUGUCUCAAUGUCUCGCUGGUUUUAUUGAUUUUCUUAGAGGCUUGUCAGACUAGUAUAGAUGUUGGGAGUUGACUAAUAAGUCGUAUUUUGUUAUCUUUCUGAAAUUCUUUUAUUCUUGGAUGAUGAUUACUCUGUUGAUAUUUGAGGGUUAUUUAUGAAAACCCCGUUGAUUUGUGUU
Molecule: RNA transcript, 1929 nt
Organism: Capsicum annuum
Lineage: Eukaryota; Viridiplantae; Streptophyta; Magnoliopsida; Solanales; Solanaceae
Exons: 15
Source: RefSeq, a predicted model, not a curated record